Molecule: ribosomal RNA, 263 nt
Filed under: uncultured bacterium
Lineage: Bacteria
Description: partial 16S ribosomal RNA
Rfam family: Bacterial small subunit ribosomal RNA
Source: RNAcentral
GUCCUGGCCGUAAACGGUGGACACUAGGUGUUGGAGGCAUCGACCCCUCCAGUGCCGCAGCUAACGCAUUAAGUGUCCCGCCUGGGGAGUACGACCGCAAGGUUGAAACUCAAAGGAAUUGACGGGGGCCCGCACAAGCGGUGGAGCAUGUGGUUUAAUUCGACGCAACGCGAAGAACCUUACCGGGGUUUGACAUGCACGGGACAGGUGUGGAAACACACCCUCCCUUCGGGGUCCGUGCACAGGUGCUGCAUGGCUGUCGU